This 494-nucleotide ribosomal RNA is filed under the name uncultured bacterium. Its description in RNAcentral is "partial 16S ribosomal RNA". It matches the Rfam family "Bacterial small subunit ribosomal RNA", at positions 29 to 507 of the family's 1533-position model. The record is from RNAcentral.
ACGAACGCUGGCGGCGUGCCUAAUACAUGCAAGUAGAACGCUGAAGGAGGAGCUUGCUUCUCCGGAUGAGUUGCGAACGGGUGAGUAACGCGUAGGUAACCUGCCUGGUAGCGGGGGAUAACUAUUGGAAACGAUAGCUAAUACCGCAUAACAGUAGAUAUUGCAUGAUAUCUGCUUGAAAGGUGCAAUUGCAUCACUACCAGAUGGACCUGCGUUGUAUUAGCUAGUUGGUGGGGUAACGGCUCACCAAGGCGACGAUACAUAGCCGACCUGAGAGGGUGAUCGGCCACACUGGGACUGAGACACGGCCCAGACUCCUACGGGAGGCAGCAGGAGGGAAUCUUCGGCAAUGGACGGAAGUCUGACCGAGCAACGCCGCGGGAGUGAAGAAGGGUUUCGGAUCGUAAAGCUCUGUUGUAAGAGAAGAACGAGUGUGAGAGUGGAAAGUUCACACUGUGACGGUAUCUUACCAGAAAGGGACGGCUAACUACGUG